GCUGCAGCUGUUCACGGCCGGCGCGGGUCCCCUGCCGCUGCCGCCCACCCACCUCCGUCGCCCCUGAUAUUGCCAGUCCGCCGAGAUGUGCGGUCUGGUCGCGUUUCACGCUUGCAGCCAGCCCAGACGUCAGCGUCGCGGGCUCCGCUGUUGUCGCCCACCUGCCACCGCGCUGCCCACAGGCGCCGCCCAACGUUCGCCGCUGGUCAGCUUCCCGCUGCCGUCUCCGUUUGGGUCCUGGCAUCAACGCCCGGGCGCGUACUUCCGCCGCCGUGCAGGCAGCCGCCCUGCCGCCACCGUCUCUUCUGUACUAUUCAUAGACCCAGGGGACAGCACAGCCACAGCAGCUGCCAGAGGGUGUCAACACAAUGCCGCAGGAUGACCUCGUGGAGAUGGAGCCUCCACCUCCUCUGUCUCCUCUUGUCCUACUGAAGGACCUGGACCUGCCCAUGCUGCAGCAGCUGAUGCCUUCUACAUCAUGAUAUGGGCCUCAGUUGGUGGACACAUACCCUUUUGGGCAUUUUCUGGGGGAUCAGAGCUAAGGUCAGAUGGGGGAGCGACCAGAAGUCUGACUCCCCUCCAGCCACAGCUUGUGGUCCAUCAGAGCAUCGAUGCGCUUGGCUCCCUCCCCCGCCCCCCCCUCCCCCACUGUCAUGCUCCUAUAUGAUGAUAGUCCAUUGUUUUGAGGGGGAGGAAUGUUACAGUGUAAAGUCAAGUGUCAACACGUCAGUUGGGAAUGAAAGAGAAGAGAAGGCUGUGAGGAGAGGUCAGCCAAUCAUCACACACUGAUCGACCUCUCUUCCAGGACAACAAUGGGACAGCACCAGCCCCGAUGCGAAGGCAAUGUAUGUGCUGCACCCAACUCAUGGAGGCCACUUGGAUCGCAGCAUCUAUGCUAGGCACUUCAAUAGCAUUUCAUGAAAGACUUUUGUCAGUUAGAGAGCUGCAGUCACUCCAAAGACUGAUUAUUUCAUAUGUCACCCUUUUCUUGUGACACAUCUGUAUAAUUGCCAAAGUUAAGUAUCUGUAAUUGUCUUUUUGUAAUGAAACUCAUUAAUAAAAGCUGUGUGAUUGCUCAGCAAA
Schistocerca gregaria is the source of this 1083-nucleotide RNA transcript. RefSeq lists it as uncharacterized. Lineage: Eukaryota; Metazoa; Arthropoda; Insecta; Orthoptera; Acrididae. The record is from RefSeq and is a predicted model, not a curated record. The transcript is spliced from 2 exons.